UUAAACUGGAGAGUUUGAUCCUGGCUCAGAACGAACGCUUGCGGCGUGCUUAACACAUGCAAGUCGAACGAGAAAACCCUUUCGGGGGUGAGUAAAGUGGCGCACGGGUGAGUAACACGUAGGUAACGUACCUUCGGGUUCGGGAUAACACUUCGAAAGGAGUGCUAAUACCGGAUAAGACCACGGGCCCCUCGGGACCUGAGGAAAAAGGUGGCCUCUCAGCGAAGCUGCCGCCUGAAGAUCGGCCUGCGUACCAUUAGCUAGUUGGUAGGGUAAUGGCCUACCAAGGCUACGAUGGUUAGCUGGUCUGAGAGGAUGAUCAGCCACACUGGAACUGGAACACGGUCCAGACUCCCACGGGAGGCAGCAGUGGGGAAUAUUGCGCAAUGGGGGAAACCCUGACGCAGCAACGCCGCGUGGGUGAAGAAGGCCUUCGGGUUGUAAAGCCCUGUCAGGAGGGAAGAACGGAUUGUGAGUGAAUAGCUCACAGCCUUGACGGUACCUCCAGAGGAAGCGCCGGCUAACUCCGUGCCAGCAGCCGCGGUAAUACGGAGGGCGCAAGCGUUGUUCGGAAUUAUUGGGCGUAAAGCGCGUGUAGGCGGUCCGGAAAGUUGGGUGUGAAAUCCCUUGGCUCAACCGAGGAAUUGCAUUCAAAACUACCGGACUUGAGUGCGGGAGAGGGAAGUGGAACUCCUAGUGUAGAGGUGAAAUUCGUAGAUAUUAGGAGGAACACCUGUGGCGAAGGCGGCUUCCUGGACCGACACUGACGCUGAGACGCGAAAGCGUGGGGAGCAAACAGGAUUAGAUACCCUGGUAGUCCACGCCGUAAACGAUGAGUACUAGGUGUUGGGGGUGUUGACCCCCCCAGUGCCGACGCUAACGCAUUAAGUACUCC
Molecule: ribosomal RNA, 895 nt
Filed under: Myxococcales bacterium
Lineage: Bacteria; Pseudomonadati; Myxococcota; Myxococcia; Myxococcales
Description: bacterial SSU rRNA
Rfam family: Bacterial small subunit ribosomal RNA
Source: RNAcentral